UCCAAGUCGACACCCCUGCCUCUGGUUAGAAUCGUAGAGUCGGAGCCGAUCAUCUUCCAAUGGUCGACUUCUUCUAUUACUCUGUCAACGGCGAAACAUGGCUCCUAAAUUUCACUAAGAAGACCCUUAUUCCACCAAGAAAACCUAACCAGAUUUGUUGGGUUGUUGAUUUUGGGGGGAUUUGUGUCAAUUGUUGUGAAUAUAUCAGAAUCUCUUGAAGGAUGAUGGAAAAAAAUAAGAACAGGGAAAAUACCUAUGAGGUUAAUUUAUUUGAUUUGUUUAUUUUAUCAUUGAAUUUCUUGCAUUUUGAUUCCAUGUUUCCUUGCAAGUGAAGGGUUUGAGGAUUAACUCAAUAUGAACUACUACCAACAUCCAGAAUGGUAUGCAUCUAAUUAAAAAAGCAACAUACAGUUAGGGUUUGAGGAUGUUUACAUUAUCAUUGAGUGUCUUGUAUUUUUUAUGGUAAACAUCAUAUGGAUUUUCACUUAAAGGCAUCCCCAAGACUAAGACCGAGAAAGAGAGAAUGCAGGAAAAAAACGUUGGCUGUUUCGGGUCCUGUAAACACACAUACAUCAUUAAGAGAGUGUAACUUUGUGUAGAGUGAGUUUGUGUAUGUCUGUAGUUUUUUUUCUCUUGUAUUAAAGAGGGAGAUAGAGAGCGAGUUUAUGUAUGUAGUAAACACACCCAACACACACCAUUAAUCGCAUUCACAACCUACAUACAUGUUAGGUUUUAUGUAUGCAAAACACACACAAACACACACCUAUAAUCUCAUUCAUAAAGACUAUACAUGUUUCGUAUUUUUCCUGCA
This is a non-coding RNA of Lactuca sativa (garden lettuce), 811 nucleotides long. The record is from RefSeq and is a predicted model, not a curated record. Lineage: Eukaryota; Viridiplantae; Streptophyta; Magnoliopsida; Asterales; Asteraceae.